GACUCUCGGCAACAGAUAUCUUGACUCUUGCAUCGAUGAUGAAUGCAGAAAAAUGUGAUACUUCAUGUGAAUUGCAGAAUCUUGUGAAUCAUCGAGUCUUUGAACACAAGUUGCACCCGAAGCUAAUAUGCUGAGGGUACGUCUGCCUAGGUGUCA
Malania oleifera is the source of this 156-nucleotide ribosomal RNA. RefSeq annotates it as 5.8S ribosomal RNA. Lineage: Eukaryota; Viridiplantae; Streptophyta; Magnoliopsida; Santalales; Ximeniaceae. The transcript has a single exon. The record is from RefSeq and is a predicted model, not a curated record.